CCUACGGGUGGCAGCAGUGAGGAAUAUUGGUCAAUGGACGAGAGUCUGAACCAGCCAAGUAGCGUGAAGGAUGACUGCCCUAUGGGUUGUAAACUUCUUUUAUCUGGGAAUAAAAUGUUCCACGUGUGGGAUUUUGUAUGUACCCUAUGAAUAAGGCACGGCUUACUCCGUUCCAGCAGCCCCGGUAAUUCGGAGGGUCCGAGCGUUUUCCGGGUUUUUUGGGUUUAAAGGGAGCGUAUGUGGAUUUUUAAGUCAGUUGUGAAAGUUUGCGGCUCAACCGUAAAAUUGCAGUUGAAACUGGCAGUCUUGAGUACAGGAGAGGUGGGCGGAAUGCGUGGUGUAGCGGUGAAAUGCUUAGAUAUCACGAAGAACUCCGAUUGCGAAGGCAGCUCACUGGACUGCAACUGACACUGAGGCUCGAAAGUGUGGGUAUCAAACAGGAUUAGAUACCCUAGUAGUC
This 460-nucleotide ribosomal RNA is filed under the name uncultured bacterium. RNAcentral's name for it is "partial 16S ribosomal RNA". It matches the Rfam family "Bacterial small subunit ribosomal RNA", at positions 338 to 795 of the family's 1533-position model. The record is from RNAcentral.